GUAGGGGGCAAGCGUUGUCCGGAUUUAUUGGGCGUAAAGAGCGUGUAGGCGGCCAUACAGGUCUGCUGUGAAAACUCGAGGCUCAACCUCGAGCUGUCGGUGGAAACCGUAUGGCUAGAGUCCGGAAGAGGAGAGUGGAAUUCCCGGUGUAGCGGUGAAAUGCGCAGAUAUCGGGAAGAACACCCGUGGCUAAGGCGGCUCUCUAGUACGGUACUGACGCUGAGACGCGAAAGCGUGGGGAGCGAACAGGAUUAGAUACCCUGGUAGUCCACGCUGUAAACGAUGGGUGCUAGGUGUGGGAGGUGUCGACUCCUUCCGUGCCGAAGCUAACGCAUUAAGCACCCCGCCUGGGGAGUACGGCCGCAAGG
Molecule: ribosomal RNA, 368 nt
Filed under: uncultured bacterium
Lineage: Bacteria
Description: bacterial SSU rRNA
Rfam family: Bacterial small subunit ribosomal RNA
Source: RNAcentral